RNAcentral lists this ribosomal RNA (576 nucleotides) under uncultured eukaryote. RNAcentral describes it as "SSU rRNA". It matches the Rfam family "Eukaryotic small subunit ribosomal RNA", at positions 203 to 785 of the family's 1831-position model. The record is from RNAcentral.
UAUUUAUUAGAUAAAAAACCAACGCCCUUCGGGGCUCCUUGGUGAAUCAUAAUAACUUAACGAAUCGCAUGGCCUUGCGCCGGCGAUGGUUCAUUCAAAUUUCUGCCCUAUCAACUUUCGAUGGUAGGAUAGUGGCCUACCAUGGUGGCAACGGGUAACGGGGAAUUAGGGUUCGAUUCCGGAGAGGGAGCCUGAGAAACGGCUACCACAUCCAAGGAAGGCAGCAGGCGCGCAAAUUACCCAAUCCCGAUACGGGGAGGUAGUGACAAUAAAUACUGAUACGGGGCUCUUUUGGGUCUCGUAGUUGGAAUGAGAACAAUUUAAAUCCCUUAACGAGGAACAAUUGGAGGGCAAGUCUGGUGCCAGCAGCCGCGGUAAUUCCAGCUCCAAUAGCGUAUAUUAAAGUUGUUGCAGUUAAAAAGCUCGUAGUUGAACCUUGGGUCUGGCUGGCCGGUCCGCCUCACCGCGAGUACUGGUCCGGCUGGACCUUUCCUUCUGGGGAACCUCAUGGCCUUCACUGGCUGUGGGGGGAACCAGGACUUUUACUGUGAAAAAAUUAGAGUGUUCAAAGCAGGC